Long non-coding RNA from Mauremys mutica (yellowpond turtle), 1425 nucleotides. RefSeq lists it as uncharacterized. The transcript has 3 exons. The record is from RefSeq and is a predicted model, not a curated record. NCBI's taxonomy places the organism in Eukaryota, Metazoa, Chordata, Testudines, Geoemydidae.
UGCCCCAGGGUUUAAUCAAACAGGCAACAGAAAGAUUGCUACAAGAGUAGGCUAGGCUCCUGCAGGGGAGGUCUUGAGGUAGAGCCAUCAAGGGACCUGCCUGAGAGAGGCUAUCCAUUUGAAGAUUUGGUUGGACUUUAUUUGAAUUUUUGGAUUACUCCAAAAGGGUAAUUUAAGCUUUUUAUUUAACCUGGCUGGAAGGCCAAGCUACUGAGCACUCUGAGAGGGAAUUGAAAGAAGAUAUGGGUCUGAGGGAGACCCCAAUGAGGGGUACCAAAGAUGAAGAUCUCUGUCAUGGCACAAAGGAGUGCCCUAGAGGUCUCCUUUCAGUCUGGGACCCCUCCUUAAUUCAGCUUCUGUGAGAGUCAUUGAUCUCAUAAGCAGAGAUGGGGGAGAAGAGUGGCUGACCUACGCAAUAGCAGAUAACAUUCUGCUCAGACAUACUCAGAGAAUGGAAUGCACUCUGAUAGAUGGCAUACUUUUGAAGUACAUUAAAUUUCUAGGAGGGACAACGUAGCAAUCAUGGGAUUUUGAGAUUGGAAAAUACCAAAGGAUGCCGAGCAGAGGCUUAUUGAAUGCUUUCUUUUAAGUGUCUUUGGUUUCCAAGGGAUUUUGGUGCCUCGGGAUCAGAAUAAAAUUGGUCUCUAGACCCUAGGACUGCAUUCACUGCACCUCCUUGGAAGGAAGACCUUAAACUAGCAAUGGUACACACUGAUAACUGUGCCUUCUUCUGAGUUAGUCAAUGACAGAUCAAUGAAGAUGUGUUCAGCAAAAUAAAAAGUGCAUUUUCCGCACUGCACCAAGCUGUCCGAAGUGAAAUGUCCAAACAAGAGUGCAAUGUUAUCAGUAAUUUUACAUCACAGUGUCUUUCAUAUGCUGGACUCAGCUGCAGUAAUAAAGAGAACCUCAUUAUGGAUUUAACUGUCUGAAGUAUGUGUUCUCAUUCUCCGCUGUGUUCCUGCUCUCAUAUGUUAAAAUGCUCAGAGUAGCUUCAUUUUGACAAUCACUUAACACACCUCUGUGUAGUGAUAGUACAAUCUUUCAUAAAUAAAAUCUCUAUCUUGAAAGAAGUGAUACUUAAGGCUAUGAUUCAGCUUCUCAAAAAAUAUUUGCAGAAAAGAUUUUUUUCCACAAAUAGGUAAAUAAUACAUGGCACUAUGAAGGGAAUACAGCAAUCUGGAACUAAGGCACUUUGGACCCAACUCUCUGAUGCUCUGCACCUUGUGUAGUUACUUGCAACCCAUGCACAACCUCUAAACUGCAUUUUACACCCACUUUGGUGCAAGUGACUACACAAGGAGCAAGGCAUCAAAUUGAGCCCAUUUUGUUCAAGCAUCCAUUGUAUAGUAUGAUCAGCAUGUGGAAGACUGUACAUUCCAGAUACCUAGAGCUCUGUGUGGAUACAAAAUUUGUAUCCGUAUCUGA